This 260-nucleotide unclassified non-coding RNA is filed under the name Hevea brasiliensis (rubber tree). The record is from RNAcentral. Lineage: Eukaryota; Viridiplantae; Streptophyta; Magnoliopsida; Malpighiales; Euphorbiaceae.
GUUUUUUCAAGUAAAAAAACAGCAAUAGCAUUCAUUACUAAAAGAAUAAUAUAAGCAUUCAACAUAGAAUAUGUAUUUUUAAGCAUCAUUGAAGCAAAGACGGCUUCAAUUAAGUGCAUACAUUCAUUUCAAAGGAACAACAAACAAAACACUGCCAAAAUAUAGAUAAUAGGACAAAGAACCACGAGAACUUCCUAAUAUUCUUCAUCAUCACCAUCGUCACCCUCAGCUGAUUCAGCACCAACCUCUUCAUAAUCCUU